This 222-nucleotide ribosomal RNA is filed under the name Triticum aestivum (bread wheat). Its description in RNAcentral is "partial small subunit ribosomal RNA". Lineage: Eukaryota; Viridiplantae; Streptophyta; Magnoliopsida; Poales; Poaceae. The record is from RNAcentral.
CAAACGAGUAUGUUAAGAUAUUAGUAGACUUUAUCGUAGUUCACCAAUAGUGUAUCGUUAGAAUGGUGAGUACGAUCGGAGAUAGCACUUGAGUUUUGACUUUGUUUCGUCAUUUGGUGUGUGAAUUCUCUCGAGUCGGUAGUGUAGACUGUGAGAGUUGUGUUACAUCAAACACGGUAGUCGCGGGAGCUUGAGCGGCGGACGCAUGAACCUCAUGUCGUG